GAUGAACGCUAGCGGCAGGCUUAACACAUGCAAGUCGAGGGGCAGCACGGGUAGCAAUACCUGGUGGCGACCGGCGGAAGGGUGCGUAACGCGUGAGCAACAUGCCCUAUACAGGGGAAUAAACCAGGGAAACUUGGUCUAAUGCCCCAUAGCAAUAAGAUAAGGCAUCUUAUUUUAUUUAAAGCUUCGGUGGUAUAGGAUUGGCUCGCGUGACAUUAGCUGGAUGGUGGGGUAACGGCCCACCAUGGCGAUGAUGUCUAGGGGUUCUGAGAGGAAGACCCCCCACACUGGGACUGAGACACGGCCCAGACUCCUACGGGAGGCAGCAGUGAGGAAUAUUGGACGAUGGAUGGAAAUCUGAUCCAGCCAUGCCGCGUGCAGGAAGACGGCCCUAUGGGUUGUAAACUGCUUUUCUACGGGAGCAAUAAGGUCUACGCGUAGACUGAUGAGAGUACCGUAGGAAUAAGCAUCGGCUAACUCCGUGCCAG
This 488-nucleotide ribosomal RNA is filed under the name uncultured bacterium. Its description in RNAcentral is "bacterial SSU rRNA". It matches the Rfam family "Bacterial small subunit ribosomal RNA", at positions 28 to 511 of the family's 1533-position model. The record is from RNAcentral.